This 497-nucleotide ribosomal RNA is filed under the name uncultured bacterium. RNAcentral's name for it is "partial 16S ribosomal RNA". It matches the Rfam family "Bacterial small subunit ribosomal RNA", at positions 28 to 507 of the family's 1533-position model. The record is from RNAcentral.
GACGAACGCUGGCGGCGUGCCUAAUACAUGCAAGUUGAGCGAUGAAGAUUGGUGCUUGCACCAAUUUGAAGAGCAGCGAACGGGUGAGUAACGCGUGGGGAAUCUGCCUUUGAGCGGGGGACAACAUUUGGAAACGAAUGCUAAUACCGCAUAACAACUUUAAACAUAAGUUUUAAGUUUGAAAGAUGCAAUUGCAUCACUCAAAGAUGAUCCCGCGUUGUAUUAGCUAGUUGGUGAGGUAAAGGCUCACCAAGGCGAUGAUACAUAGCCGACCUGAGAGGGUGAUCGGCCACAUUGGGACUGAGACACGGCCCAAACUCCUACGGGAGGCAGCAGUAGGGAAUCUUCGGCAAUAGACGAAAGUCGGACCGAGCAACGCCGCGUGAGUGAAGAAGGUUUUCGGAUCGUAAAACUCUGUUGGUAGAGAAGAACGUUGGUGAGAGUGGAAAGCUCAUCAAGUGACGGUAACUACCCAGAAAGGGACGGCUAACUACGUG